This is a regulatory RNA element of Mesorhizobium sp., 75 nucleotides long. It matches the Rfam family "ybhL leader". From Rfam's summary of the family: This family is a putative regulatory RNA structure that is found upstream of an uncharacterized membrane protein in alpha-proteobacteria. NCBI's taxonomy places the organism in Bacteria, Pseudomonadati, Pseudomonadota, Alphaproteobacteria, Hyphomicrobiales, Phyllobacteriaceae. The record is from Rfam.
CAGGCAUGCUGGAGUCCCGCCAGCGGCGCCUGGGCGGAUCGGGUUCGGUACCGCCCGACACCGGACGGGACAGAA